CUCUUCCCUUUCUUGUAAAUAAUGGCCUGGUAAGAUUACUGCAUCUGGCACGUAGCAGCUGCCCAAUAAAUGUUGCUAAAUGAAUAACCCUGACAUGAGUGGCUGCAUUCCCAAGGUUCUCCCAGCGUUAGAUUUUCACUUUCAAACCAACAGAAAAGGAAGCAGGGCCGCCUGAGCGGGGCGUAGAGAACUAGGAGCAAGCUGUUCCCCGCCCUUCCCAGGGCAGACGUUGUUGCUUCAUCGCUGACUGAAACGUCGAUGGCCGGGGAGGCAGCCAGCCCCGGCACAGCGGCCGCCUUAUAAGGACAUUGGCCGGGCCUGCCAGGUGUGUCAUCCCGGCUGGAGAGGCGGCCAAUGGUGGCCCGUGAGUCAAGGCCUGGGCGGGUAAAGCAUCCUCAGGAAGUCAUACAGGCAGAAAGUGAGAGUUUUCUCACUUCCCUCCCCCCUCCAUGUUUCCAUGUGUUUUAAAUUAUUAUCCCAUCUGCCGUUUACCUCUGCAACUGGGAAAACAGAGAAACGGAUUUUUGAAUUAAAACAAAGGUACUCAUAAGCUGUUACGUCACUAGCAAAGAGAAGUCCCUCUCUGCUUUUUUGGGCGGGGGGCACUGCUGAAAUGAAGAAAUUGCAUGUCUGCGGGAAGGUCUCCUGGAGAAUUAAUACACAGUGGUCCAUCCGUGGCAAGGCGAUAUCUGGCAGCGAUGGAGGGCUGCCCCGGCCCCAGGGCAGCGCUGGAGUCUCCUGGGCCAGCCUCUGCCCCAGGCUCCUGUUGAGAGGAGGACUCGAUACCAGCAAAGGCAAGCCGGGAGUGGGCAGGGGGCCUUGGAGAAAAACGGUCCUUCGGAAAGGGAAGAGGACAAAGGAAGGGGCAGUGGGCCUGACCAGAGGGGGCAGAGAAUCGUGGUUAAGAAAUUAGGCUUGAAAUCUUACAGACCUGGGUUUUGAACCUGAUUCGCCCACUUCAGCUGGGUGGGCUAGAGCAAGUUAGUCCAUGUAAGUCUCAGUCACCCCAUGUGAAAUAUUUCUCCAUAGCACGCCAAUGCUUUCCUCACAUGAACUCACCAAAUUCUCAUACCCAACCAAUGAAGUAGAUUCUGUUACUCCCCUCACUCUACAUAUGAGCAGAGUACAUGCCCUAGGUCGCACAGGUAGUGACCGGCAGAACUGAAAUUUGACCCUGGGCAGGCAGGCACCAGCCCGAGCGCUUAGGUUGGUCUAAGACAUGCUGCUGAGAGGUUAGAAUCACACCCGCCUCACCUGAUGGAGCGCUGGAGGACUAAGUGGACCAGGGGGCUCGUGAAAAGCUCUUAUUUCUGCACCUUACACGCGGAGUUAGUAAAAAGCUGGAGUCAAAUCGCAGCACGAAUUUCAUGGAAUAUGAGGCCCUUCCAUCAGGAGCUAAGGCAUCAAGCCGAGGUCCCUCAGAAUGAGAAAUGACCCUUUGCGACAGCACAUUCCCCACAUCUAGCAGAGGAGCUGAGGCAUUGUCUUGGCAGGAAGACUCAACAAGUUUAUGGAAGGAGAAGAGGCAGAGGAAAACUGAUCAGCCUAAAGGCAAGAUCCACCCUGCUCUCUACGAAGGCCCUCAGUUUAUCUUGGCUCUCUGCAACAGCCUCCAGCAGGGGCGGGAGGGAGCCGUUCCCCUGGGGCUGUCUUGGAGCCUGUGCACCUCCCAGCCUCCCCUAGAGGGAUUCCCCGGUCCCCAGAGCAGCAGUGGGCGUUUGGCAGGGCGCUGGAUUGCUCUUCAAUGGACUAAAAGACUCCUUUGGACACUAGAGACCCAGUCGUUUGAGGCUGCCAGAAAAGAUGACUAAUUUGCUUUUUCUUAACUAAACAACAUCAAAAAAAAAUGUUCCAUGGAAAAUUAUAAAGGCAUUUUUAAAGGAGACUGGGAUUCAUGAGUCUGUUCUUUAUCUUUUUCAUUUUCUUCUUAAAUUUAACUAUUUAGGAAAUUGCUUAUUAAAACCAAAGGUCAAGAUCUUUUCCUCCUUCAAAAGCAAAACCAAACCUAGUCUGUUUUCUUUCACAGGAAGUUCAGCAUCUUCCUAGAAGGAAGUGGCCACCUUGCGUGAGUGUCUCAGUACUAUUUUGGCUCAUCCUCCAUAAAUAAAAUAUUGUUAUUUAGUUUGGGCUUCUCCCAACUUUUACCCACUUACCUGGUGCAUGGGCUUUUGAAUCUCCCAGGGAAUUUUUGCCAAUUGCCACUAACACAGUAUUGAAAACUACACAGUCAAAUGCCAUUAUACAUACUGUGGUGGGAUUCUACAUGGACUUGUCGUCGUCCAUGGCCCAGAGCAAAACCCGAAAAUGAAACAGAAUCUCUCACUGCCAAGAGCUUGGUAAAACAUGCAGAUCCUAUCUUCCCCAAGAACUUAACAUGGAGCACUCCAGCUUCUGUUCAAUGACCUUACCAAAAAAAACCUGUUUAGGGCAUCCAGUUUAUAGAAUAUAGGAAGAAGAUACUGACCAAAGAGGAUAGACUCAGAAAUGUUAAGUGUUUUCAAAGCAUUAAAAUAUCAUUUCAAAGUAAUGAGAUCAAAACCAACCACAAUUUCAAAGUUCACUUGUGUAAAGCGUUAAGCUCCAAAACAUUGAUGACAUCCAAAAGUUAAAAUAUACCAAAGUUAUGGCCCCUUGCGAAUGGAUGUACAGAGAAAAAGCUAUAAAAAAACCCUUGUUCUUUGGCCCUUUGCAUUCAGUUUAAGGCAAAUUAGAUACAGUCCAUCCUCAUUAUUCCCAGAUUACAUACUUGCAAACUUGCCUACUCACGAAAAUGUAUUUGUAUCUCCAAAAUCAAUACUCAUGGCCUUUCAAGGUCACUGCAGAUACUCACGGAGCAGCAAAAAAAUUGAGUUUCCCAACGCACUCACUCAUUCUUAGCUGAUCUCAAACAAGACCAUGCUCUGCCUUCCUGUUUCAGCACUCACACUGGAAACAGCCUUUUCAUGGUCUAUUUAGUGCAAGCUUUCCCACAUUCUUCUGCUUUUUGUUGAUGAUUUUGCUGUCUAAAAUGGUCUCCAAAAUCUAAAAAUGUUGAACUUAUAGAAACAGAGUAGAACUUAUAGAAACACAGUAGAAACUGAAAAGAUGUUGGUCAAAGGGUACCGAAUAUUAGUUAUAAGAUGAGCAAGUUCUGGGGAUUUAAUGUACAGCAUGGGUAGUGAUGGAUGUGUUACUUAAUUUAAUUGUAGUAAUCAUUACACAGUGUAUACAUAUGUCAAAUCAUCACAUUGUAUACCUUGAAUAUAUUCAGUCUUUAUUUAUCAAUUAAAUAUUUUUAAAUGAAAACAUAAAAUAAAAUAAAAUGGUCCCCAAGUGUAAUGCCAAAGUGCUAUAUAGUGGUCCUAAGGAUAGGAAGGCUGACAUGGAGAAAAUACAUCUUAGAUAAGCUUCAUUCAGGUACGAGGUAUAGUGCUGUUGGUGAUAAUGACCUCAAUGUUAAUGAAUCAAUAACAUAAUAAAGAAAGUGUCUUUAAACAGAAACACAGAGUUAUGUAUUGAUCAGUUGACAAAAACAUGAUCAGAGGUUGGCAGGACUCUAAAGCUGUAUUUUCCCCAGCUACGAUGGUUCAGUAUUCACUAAUUCAAUGUUCACAGCAACUGCAUAGAACAUAACUACCAAGAGUAACAACAAUUGACUAUUUGCUCGAGCUUAUGGUUGUCCUUUUAAGGGAAUUUAAUUUAUGUAGUGUCUCUUUGUUGUGAAUUUUAUUAAGUACCUAUUAUGGGUGGGGGCACCAUGAUAGCUCCUUAGAGGGCCCAAAGGUGACCAAAGCCAAUGCCCUUGCCAUUCCCAUCAAGAGACGGGGUCUAUUGACUCCAUGAACUGUGACUCUUGGCAGAACUUCAUAACUGUCUUGAUGAAUAGAAUGCGGCAAAAGUGACAAAGCCUUUCAAGGCUAGCUCACAGAAGUUAAUACAGCUUGUACCUGGCUCUUUUCCUGGGGCCACUCACCCUUGGAACCCUGAAACCCAACCACCACAUUGUGAGGAAGCCAGCCCACCACGGGAAGGUCAAGUAUACGUGUCCACCUUCAGCCAGCAAUCUGCAUCCACUGCACAGGUAAGCAAGCAGACUCUCAGGGACUCCAGCCACCUGCCUCAGAGCUGCCCCAGUGGACACUGAGUGAGCAGAGGCAAACAGUUUCCUCAGAGCCCUGCCCAAAUUGCAGAUUUGUGAGCAAAAUAAAUGCUGCUAUUGUUCAUGCAACUGAGUUAGGGAGCGGUUUGUUAUGUAGUAACAGAAACCUGAUACACUGUUCCUAGGUCGCUCAGGCCUAAAACCUUGGCAUGGGCCUUGCCCCCUCUCUUUCUCUCAUACCACUUCUCUCUGACCCAACUCUGUCAGCAAAUUCUCACAAAAUAUGUCCAAAAUCUCUCCUCUUCUUACCAUCCAUUGCUGCCACCAUGCCCGGUCUGUCACCACUGUUCCCCAAAUGCUUUAUUGCAAUAGCUUCCUAACUAGCCUCCCUGCUUCCACCCUAAUUCUCAACAUAGCAGCCAAAGUGAUCCUAUUAAAAUGUAAGUCACAUUGUAUUAACUCUCUAAUCAAAAGCUCAAUGGCUUCCCCAUCACUAUACAAUAUGUUCCCACCCCCAUAAUUUUCAGUCAUCAUUUCCUACUAUUCUCCCCCUUGCUCACUCUCCUACGUCAUGUUGGCCUUCUGCUGGCCUCCCUAAUGUUCCUAAUACACACCAGGUCUGUCUCCACCUCAGGCCUUUGCACAUGGUCCACUCCUUCACCUCCUUCUAGUUUUUACCCAAAUGUCACCUUCUGUGUGAGCAUGGCUCCGCCACACUAUCAUCUUUCCCUGCACUAUUUUUCCCCAUUGCACUUCCCACCACUCACACCAGCUUAACUACUCAUCUGCUUCAUUGCUUGCUGCCCCACACAGAGAGUGCCACAGAGCAGACAGUGGACUGCUAGCUCUGUGAGCCAGGGAGUUCUGUCUAUUUUCCUCACUGUUGCAUCCCUACUGUCUUAGACAGUACCUGGUUGGCACAUAGAAGACCAUUCAUAAACAUUUGUUGAAUAAAUGACUGGGAUUAAAUGCUUUUGUUGAAGUCACAUCUUCUAGAUGGCCAUGGGAGAAUUUGAACCCAGGCCAUUUGCUCUAGUUUUUAUACCAAGUUAUAUUCAUCAAGAUAAUUUUAGCUAUAAUAAUAGAAUACUCAGAUAAAACAAAGAAGAAAAUGUACUAUCUUACAAAACAAAAUACCUUGAGGUAGGUGUUUCCAAGGUUAAUUAUUUCAGUAGCACAAUGAUGGUAUCAAAGACCUAGGUGUUUUAAAUCUCUUCUCAUUGCCAUCCUUACUUAGAGUAGCACAUUGUAAUUCUCAAAGAUGACCACACCUACAUAUUUAUCUAAUAGCACAUGCUCUUCAUGCAAUGUGACUGACAACUGACACACCUCUCAUCAAGACAGGGGCUGGUGUUCUCUCCUCUCAACUUUAGGCACGGGAUUGUGACUGUCCCAAUCAAUACAGCAAGGCAGAAAAGAUGCUCGUGACUUCUAAGGCCAGGUGACAGACAGGAUACAGCCUCCACCUGGCUGGCUCUCUCUUUCAGGACGCUUGCCUUUGGAACUCGGCCGCCAUGUUGCGAGGAAGCCCUGGGCAUCUGGAGAUGCCAGCAUGGAGAGAAUCUAAGGCCUCCCUUCAGCAGGCAGCACCAACUGCCAGCCACGUGAGUGAACUAUCAUGCAAGUGGGCCCUUCAACCCCAGUCAAGCCUUCAGAUAGCCACAGCUCCAGCCAACAUGUGAUUGCAACCUCAUGAGAAACCUCCCAGCCAGGACAGCUCUCAAAUUCCUGACACAUAGAAACCAUGGAAGAUAAUAAUUAUUGUUGCUUUAAGCCACCGAGUUUUGGAGUAAUUUGCCAGGGAGUAUUGGACAACUAAUACACUUAGCAUGUUGUCUUUGCACUUGUCCCUUCAUAGUUAAAGCAUGGAAGAUAUAGCUCCUGAUAUCACAAUAUGACAGAAUAUGAAGAGAUAUGGCAAUCUCUUCUGGACAUAAUUCAAUUAAAUUUAUAAUAACUAGAAUCUUCUGAAUCCAAAUCUAGAUACAGGAUUGUAUCACUAAGAGCUACAGGACUGGCUAUAUACUCCUUUUAAGCAAGAGCAAGUAGCUGCGCUAAAAUAUUUUAGACAAUCCACAUAUCUUAACCACUAGUAAGCUCACUUAUAAAACCCUGUUUGUAGCAUCCAUUAUACUAAUUAAAAAGCCACUGAUUUCAUCAGUGGAAACCUAUUUCUAACAUUUAGUAUGCCAACUAGCAAAGCAUCUGCUACUGAUCACAGAUAAAGGUCAGGGGAGCUCUUAUAAUAGCUGCUUCUGGAGUGCAGACUUCCUAAUUAGAAUGCUGGCUGUCCACCCUAGGAUGUGAAUUGCCAAUUAGGGCAACAACUGUGCCUAGUCCUAGGGUAUAAUGUAACCCAGAAUCCACACAUGAAAUCGCACUGCCUGUGAUGAAGUAUUUUAAAGUAAAUUAGACGCAUAACACCCAACCUGGUUUUCUUAUUGUAAGUUCAUUUCCAUCUCCCCUUCCAAGCCCCCCCCCUCAAGUCUCACUGUUAACUUGCACUUCUGAGGAGCCCAACCCACUCAAACCCAGGAAGGGGUUUCCUUUCCGAUACUCUCUCCAGUAUGUGCUGCAGACGCCCUGUUUUGGCUCUUAGAUCAGCUCAAUGCAUGCCUAUUUUCCAAGGAAGGCAGUAAUCCUGGAAGACAGCUCAGUUCAAACCUACAUUCAGGAAGGACAUAUGCUGUAUUUCUUUAACUGCCUCAUAACUUGCAAUUAGAAUCAAUAAUUCUUGUGUGGUUGAAGAUAGGAUUUGGUCUCUGGGAGCCUCCCAAGCUGAAGAUCAGGCUCCUGUUAUUCUUUAAUGGUUUUCACAUGAAAGACAUUGAAAAGGUACAGGUACGUCAAAUCCCCACCAAGUAUCUGUGUCCUAUUCGGUCUCCAUCUGGGGUUGGAUAGGAAGUGCCAGUUCUCUCGGUGGCAGAUGGCAGCCAAGGUUUAUGAAGCUGUGGAUCAAGCACGGACACAUGGGCAUGCGUGAAGGACCAUGGAGAGGCCAGUAAAGCCGACCCAGGCCACAGCAGGGGCUGUGCGGAGUAAGUAACCCCAGACUCUAGCCCCACUGCCGCCAACACUGGGAUCCCACUCACAUGCUCCUUAAUCUUUCUUGGCCCCAAUAGUUUCUCACUUACAAAACAAAAGGACAUAAGAUCUCUUCUAGCUGGAUAGGCUAAUCCUGGCUACUUGAAGCCAUUGGUUCUGCACAAACCUGGCACGGGAGACCUUCUUUGUUGUUCCCAUAUUUCCCUCCUCUGUUACUCUCCCUCCAUCCCUCUUCCCAUAUCUUCCCCUCCUUUCCCUUCCAUCCUGCCUUCCCACGUGGAGUACCUGCUAGGACCUCAGAAUGCUCCUGGCCAUCAAGAACUUCAUCAUCUGGUAAAGGACAUAUUAACAAUAAUUACUAUAAUAACUAUAUUUUAAUGAGAAUAAACACUAAAAUGCUAACUGCCAAUAUUUACUGGGCUCUCACUAUAUGCUGGGGAUCAUGCUAAGUGCUUUUCAUGCACCAGCUCACCUAACGUAAUUCUGGAAACAUCCCCAUGUGGCAGGAACUGCUAUUAUCCCAUUCUGCGUUUCAGAGAAGUCAAGCGAUGAACCAUAAAGCCCACAGGUCUCACCCAAUAGAGCCUUUUGAAUAACUAAAAAUCACAGUGCUACAGGACUAGUGCUAUCCUCAGGGCAUGUAAAACAAGCAGUGAGAAGCUGACAAGGAGAAAAAGAUCUCUCCCUGAAUGAAUCUGGAAAGAUUCUUCAAAGAGGUACCAUUGAAGAACGAGACGGCCUUUUACCUGAUGGAGAAGAAUCUAAUUGCAAGAGUAGGUUAACUCAUAACUUAGAGAGUGAUAAAGAAGAAAUCAAAAAUGCCACUGUCAUCUAAUACUGUCACAAGAAAGGAAAUUACUUAGGUUUUCAUCAGGCUAUAUGUUAACACAGAUAAUGCAUCAUUUUUUUUUUCCCCACACACAUCAAAAAUACUCACUUCAUGUGAGUAUUCACAUUCUCAAUGAAGCAAGAAUUGUUGCUUCAUUUCCUCCUUUAUGCUAAGUGAUGCCACUUACAUUUGUGGAAAUCGAGUUAUCUUUCAGCCUCCUGCCUUCCCCUAUUUUCUGGCCUAUACGUUUGUUAAUCACGUGAUUAUUCCCCAGGAAAUGUGCUCCAGCGCACUUUACUUAAGAAAUGUUCUCGAACAGAUCGGGGAAAACCCCUUCACUUUCUAGGAACAUUGGCAGCCUCAUGAAGGCUCUAGGUGACUGUUCCCUCAAUUAAGUUCUGGAUUCAACUCAUAGCCAGUCCCAUAGUUCAGAGUUAGAAAGUACAGAAAUUCGAUGGUUUUGCUGCUCAGCACUUGUACCCUCUUCUUUAGAUAAUGGGAACUCAGAUUUUCUUGGGGAACUACUUCUCCCCCAAUCUCAGGCCACGGGCUCAAUCGAGGUUAGCAGUCAUGAUCCUCGCUGGGCCACUGGGCAUCAGCCUUGGAACUUUCCUAGGUCCUCUUGGAAAAGAGGCAAAUUUUUCCCAUUUUUGAUUAACAAAGCUGGUGGGAUAUGAGUUCAGUACUACAAGGGCCCGUCUUUGCCACCACUUGAGUAGAGCCUGCCUGAAAAUGAAGCUAACACAGUGUCAGUGUUUCUGCUCGGACUGGGUAAAGCCCUUUGCAGCUUUCUCCCUGCCCACGCAUGAGGCUACUAGUGUCACUGCAACUGGACACUGCCAGAGGCACGCCUGAUGGGGACACAGGGACAUAGUGAUUAUGAAUAUUGCCUUUAUUCAAGCAGUGGGAGCUGUAUCUCAAACCUGCCAUGCUGUCUCCACACCCUGGCUGGGAUCCUGUAACUCCUCCAACUACUUAAAAAUCACCUUCUUGUCUUAGUGUUAGAUUUGUGCUUCUAACUCUGUCCUUGUCCCCUAGCUCAUGGCAGAAAUACUGCCUUAUGUUCUGGCAAACACAUCUGUGUGGUUGGUCUGGAGCCAACCUCUUAGAGCCAAGAGCGGCCCCUCCAUCACUGAGGUCACCCCCUCUUAUGGCCAGAGAGCUCCAGACUUUCCACCUUCCCCUGAGUCUCCAGGGCCUUCAAUACAAAGAACGAAGAGCCAGCCUUCUGCAUCCAGAUCUGUGGUCUCGACACUGGUGCGGAGACUGCUUGUUGCUCACAACAAUUCCAGUCUCCAGGAGAGCAAGUUGGGAUGUCUGUCCGAGUCUACACGGACCUGCAUCAGCAUGCACAAUGCUGUUUGUUAUAUGACACAGCCCGGCCAGCUCCCAGAGCUGAUUAAAUAGCAUUAUGCCACAAAUAUUAUAUCCAACAUUAUGAAACAUUAUGACCUUGGGUGAUAAUACCCUGAUUUGCCCUGGGUCAUCGGCAGCUCACUAAAAGUCAUGCUUGCUGGUGGCCCACUGUGAUGUUUCUGGACUGCAUUCUGCUCAGCCAGACCAUUUGAGAUGUUAACAUACACAUGAGGGCCCCUCUCAGUCUGUUUAAAAUCCUCUAGUCUUCCUGGGCUGCUUAAGGAGGUGUCACUGGCAUGGUGUGGUCUAUUGACUCCACAUCUCCAUUCCUGAUACAACAUCACCUUUCCUGCUAGGAACCAGCCAGAAGAACAAAAACCACUCAGGUUUCCUAGCAAUGCCUUAUUUGUGGACAGAUUGCAAAAUAGCCACAGUUGACCCAAAGUUUCAGGCAGGUCUCAACUAAGAUUGGUUUGCGUUUCCCAAGGUCACUUAUAAGCCAAUUCUUGGGACUCAGAAUGUAUUUUCCCAUGGAAACAGUGUCAUAGACUAUAACAAGGGCCUCAGGCCAAGCCACAAGUGCCUACCAUAAUUGUGGUGCCAAGAGCACUAUUUCAAUAACUCCCAAUCACUAUAUAUAAUACUACUUCUAUAGGGAAGCUCCCGUUGUGUUUCAAGCUACCACAAAGUGUUCUAAGAACACAUUUCUAAGCCCCCACAUUCGUCCUGGCAGCAUGAGAGAAUUACUGCUUUUGAUUAAGCAUUCAUUCAUCCCCACAAAUACUUAUUGAGUAUCUAUUUUGCACCAGCCACUGCUGCAGGUGCUGGGAACAUAGCAGUGAUUAAAAGUCACCCCCAAAAUGUUCAGCAAUGGAAACACAGUGAGCUGCUACCAUAUUGGCCAGCAUAAUGGAGAAAGGGCUGUCCUGCUGUUUCUUUCAAAAUGACUAGAGUGUCCUGAAGGUACAUUUCCAUUUUCACCCUAGAAUGCAGAAAUGCAGACUUUCGGUUUUCUAGCUUAACAAUGUUUAGAUCUAGUCUUUACUUUGCAUUCCAUUUUCAAAUUUAGUCGUUGACCCUCAAAUCAAUAAGAAGCAGAUCAAGAUAAGACAUAUUCUCUCUUCUUCCUUGUGGCAAAAGAGAUCCUGGGAGGCCCAUGGUGUCUUAACUGAGCUUGCCUGGCUUGAGGACUUCAGAUUCCCUGGGCGUUUUGAAGGGCUUGUGGGGAAAGGGGACGAUGCCAGUGGAACCACCAGGCCAGUGGAUUUCCAGUCGAUUCAGACGGUGAGAAGGGAACUACAUUCUUCUGCUUCUUAACAGCCCUCGAAGAACUGUCUGGGGGUCUAACAUGGAGAACAGAAGCCCAGCACCUGCCAGACACAGCUCAACCUCGAGUGGCAUUCAUCUGGGAAAGCCCUCAUGUCGUGUCUUCAAAGGCAAGGUGUCACCUUCUCUGGGCUAGACUUAUACUUAGCCUAUUUGAUUCGAGCCUUUGUCACUUUCUAGCCGUAUGACUUGGGACAAGCAACAGAGCCUUACUCUUCUCAUUCAUAAAAUUCAAAAUAAUAUAAAUAUUACCACUUCGAGCUGAGGACUAAAUCAAUUAACAUUUGUACAACAUAAUAAAGCCACCAUAUCCAGCACAGAGUAAGCAUGCCACAAUGGCAGCUAUAUUCUGAAGUAUUACUUGGGUUUCACUUAUGUAAAAUUACAAAGCCUACACUUUCUUCCCCAGGUUGGAGAAGAUGCCUAUCCAUUUAAGCCCAAGAGAUUCAGAGAUUUGGCAGUUUACUGACAAUGCCCUGUACGAGGCCUAGUGGUCAGUAGGAGAGUUCUAACCUGUAUGAAAAGUGCUGUGCUAGAUCCUGAAACAAGCUUGGCUUGUUCUUUCUGUUCCAGAAUGAAUGACAUCACUGCCUCAGUCCUUGAACACCAAAUGAGAGAGUCAUGGAGGGUUUCUUGCAGAGUUUCCCCACACAUUUCUAAUGCAUUUCCUGCAAGCUGACACUGCAACCCCAAGCAAAUAAAAAGUUAAGCAACACUUUUCUCAAGUGCCAUCUACGUAAAGAACAUUAUGCUCUGGUUACAAAGCCAUGAAGGGUUGGGGAAAAGAAUGCAAUAAAAUACCCAUGGCUAGAUGGAACGACGGAGGCAGUGUGGGGUGGUGGACUGAGCUGGACAUCAGAAAAGCCUUGGACCUGGACCCAUCCCCUCCCUUGAUAGCUGUGUGCUCUCAGGCAAUGACAGUCAACAUCGCCGGGCCUGGGUGCUUGAAUGUACAAUGCAGAGAGUGGCCUAAAUCAAUCUGAAGGUCCCUUCCAGUCGGUGGACGCAGUGAAGGAGGAGAAAAGAAACGUGAAAAAAAAUGUGAGAUAAACAACAGAGCAAUUCUCACUGCAUCCUCAAUUCUUAGGCAGUGAGGCCAGGACCACAGGGGCAUCAAGUAGAAAGUUUAAGUGCCUACUUUUCCCCAUUAGGUUUGUUUAAACAUUUCAAAUGCUUGAACUAUCCACUUUCCUCAGCUGACAGGAGAGCUAGUACUGGGAACACUGGUUCACUGGGGCAUAAAUCUGAGCUGCUUGCGAGGGCUGGACGCUGGAAUGUGAACCUGUCAGGAGCCUAAAUAAGGAAACAGGCCGCAGAACAGCUCACUGAGACAAAGGCACCAUGGAUCCCCGAGUUAGCCUCAGUUAGGAGAGGGGCUUUACCCCCCAGGAGGGAGCAAAAGGACCCUGUGCAAAUAAAACCCUGCACACGCAUCACCUAACAAGGAGAAUCGAUGUCAACACAGGCAGAUCAGCCUAGAGGGAAAACAAGGCCGGCUGCCGAGCUGAGGAGCAGGCAGGGCUGGGCUGGGCCUCCUGGGGCCCGCUGUCCCGGGUCCGCCCUAAAGAUAAAGCAACCCAAACUGGCUUCGGCCUCCUUCCUCACAGCCAGCUGGGGGGCGAGUGAGCGGCCCACCGGGCUUUUCUGUGGAGGCUGCAGACACCACGUCCACGGGAGGCUGGCCUCGCUGCCUAUUCCUAACACCUUCGAUUCUGAGGUUCUGGGAGCCCCAAGGUUCAGCCCACUCACCUCUCCCAAGCCAUGAGCACCCCACCCCUGCUCCCACCUCCAUUGGCAGGGCCCUGGCAAGAAGUCUCUUCUUUCCAAAAAAUGGAAAGACCCUGAAGUGAAUCACAAAUCAUAAAUCAAAGUGCUCUCUUGGGAUCUGUGUCUCAGGAAGUAGCCGGAAACAGGAUGCCCUCUCAUUCCCACACUGGUGGCAGCUGUGGGACAGGGUGGUUUCUCAGAAACACGCUGGGUGACCACUCUCGCACACGCUCCAAGGUGAGAACUCUCCCAGAGGAGCCGAGAGAGCCCGUUCUCACCUGGAGCACACGUUACCAAACACGGCCGCCGGGAUUAGGGACAAACAGAAACCAGCAAACCACACACACACCCUAAGAAAACACGCAGAGACGAUUCCACACUUGCCAGGCGUUCUCACGCCUCCGUAGCUGUCAUCAUCCUGUUCCCGCCACCUGGAACACCUUGUUUUGCUGGCUGAGUCGUGCUCGUCCUUUGAGAUGCACUGGAGGUCAGAGGCCGCUCCCUGAGGCCCGGCCUGCCUCCCGGGGCCCACACGCCCGAGUCCUCCUUUCCGUCGCGGGCAGGGGCUUCACUCAGAGCAGCUCUGAGGGUGUCACGAGCGCCUGACUCAGUGCCUGGCAAAGAAAGAGCUCCACAGAAGAUUUUAGAUAAAUUGGGUGUUGUCGAAAGUAACAUCCUCCUUGCAAUUAAUUCAUGGAAAAAGCACAAGUUGGCCAGGGCAGGAGGGAGCAUCCUGAAGAGUGUUCCCAAGUCCCAGGCGCUCGGAACCUCUGUGGGAAGAGCAACGCUGUCCAAGCAAUGGCAUUUCCCGGCUCGGAGAGAAGAGUCAACUGGUCCUUGAAAAAGGA
This is a non-coding RNA of Microcebus murinus (gray mouse lemur), 13249 nucleotides long. NCBI's taxonomy places the organism in Eukaryota, Metazoa, Chordata, Mammalia, Primates, Cheirogaleidae. The record is from RefSeq and is a predicted model, not a curated record.